GUUGUAUGGUUAAGUGACUAAGCGUACACGGUGGAUGCCUUGGCAGUCAGAGGCGAUGAAAGACGUAGUAACUUGCGAUAAGCCCAGAUUAGGUAGUAACAACCAUUUGAGUCUGGGAUUUCUGAAUGGGGAAACCCACGUGCAUAAGCACGUAUCCUUACCUGAAUACAUAGGGUAAGGAGGCGAACCGGGGGAACUGAAACAUCUAAGUACCCCGAGGAAAAGAAAUCAACCGAGAUUCCGAAAGUAGCGGCGAGCGAAAUUGGACUAGCCCUUAAGCUUUACACGCGUUAGACGAACGGUCUGGAAAGUCCGACGAUACAGGGUGAUAGUCCCGUAGUUGACGACGUGUGUUCAGUGAAAUCGAGUAGGGCGGGACACGUGAUAUCCUGUCUGAAUAUGGGGGGACCAUCCUCCAAGGCUAAAUACUACUGACUGACCGAUAGUGAACCAGUACCGUGAGGGAAAGGCGAAAAGAACCCCUGUGAGGGGAGUGAAAUAGAACCUGAAACCGUGUACGUACAAGCAGUAGGAGCAGGCUUUGUCCUGUGACUGCGUACCUUUUGUAUAAUGGGUCAGCGACUUAUAUUCAGUGGCAAGGUUAACCAUCUAGGGGAGCCGUAGGGAAACCGAGUCUUAACUGGGCGUUCAGUCUCUGGAUAUAGACCCGAAACCAGGUGAUCUAGCCAUGGGCAGGUUGAAGGUUGAGUAACAUCAACUGGAGGACCGAACCGACUAAUGUUGAAAAAUUAGCGGAUGACUUGUGGCUAGGGGUGAAAGGCCAAUCAAACCUGGAGAUAGCUGGUUCUCCCCGAAAGCUAUUUAGGUAGCGCCUCGGACGAAUACUACUGGGGGUAGAGCACUGUUAAGGCUAGGGGGUCAUCCCGACUUACCAACCCUUUGCAAACUCCGAAUACCAGUAAGUACUAUCCGGGAGACACACGGCGGGUGCUAACGUCCGUCGUGGAGAGGGAAACAACCCAGACCGCCAGCUAAGGUCCCAAAUUACUACUAAGUGGGAAACGAUGUGGGAAGGCUCAGACAGCCAGGAUGUUGGCUUAGAAGCAGCCAUCAUUUAAAGAAAGCGUAAUAGCUCACUGGUCGAGUCGGCCUGCGCGGAAGAUGUAACGGGGCUAAGUAGUAAACCGAAGCUGCGGCAAUGUGCUUUUGCACAUUGGGUAGGGGAGCGUUCUGUAAGCGGUUGAAGGUGUGUGGUAACGCAUGCUGGACGUAUCAGAAGUGCGAAUGCUGACAUGAGUAACGAUAAAGGGGGUGAAAAACCUCCUCGCCGGAAGACCAAGGGUUCCUGUCCAACGUUAAUCGGGGCAGGGUAAGUCGACCCCUAAGGCGAGGCCGAAAGGCGUAGUCGAUGGGAAACGGGUUAAUAUUCCCGUACUUCUUACAAUUGCGAUGGGGGGACGGAGAAGGCUAGGUGGGCCUGGCGACGGUUGUCCAGGUUCAAGUGCGUAGGCUUAAGAGUUAGGUAAAUCCGGCUCUUUUUAAGGCUGAGACACGACGUCGAGCCACUACGGUGGUGAAGUCAUUGAUGCCAUGCUUCCAGGAAAAGCCUCUAAGCUUCAGAUUGUAAGGAAUCGUACCCCAAACCGACACAGGUGGUCGGGUAGAGAAUACCAAGGCGCUUGAGAGAACUCGGGUGAAGGAACUAGGCAAAAUGGUACCGUAACUUCGGGAGAAGGUACGCUCUCGACGGUGAAGUCCCUUGCGGAUGGAGCUAUUGAGAGUCGCAGAUACCAGGUGGCUGCAACUGUUUAUUAAAAACACAGCACUGUGCAAAAUCGUAAGAUGACGUAUACGGUGUGACGCCUGCCCGGUGCCGGAAGGUUAAUUGAUGGGGUUAGACUUCGGUCGAAGCUCUUGAUCGAAGCCCCGGUAAACGGCGGCCGUAACUAUAACGGUCCUAAGGUAGCGAAAUUCCUUGUCGGGUAAGUUCCGACCUGCACGAAUGGCGUAAUGAUGGCCACGCUGUCUCCACCCGAGACUCAGUGAAAUUGAAAUCGCUGUGAAGAUGCAGUGUACCCGCGGCUAGACGGAAAGACCCCGUGAACCUUUACUACAGCUUGGCACUGAACAUUGACCCUACAUGUGUAGGAUAGGUGGGAGGCUUUGAAGCACGUACGCCAGUAUGUGUGGAGCCGUCCUUGAAAUACCACCCUUGUAGUGUUGAUGUUCUAACGUCGACCCCUAAUCGGGGUUGCGGACAGUGCCUGGUGGGUAGUUUGACUGGGGCGGUCUCCUCCCAAAGAGUAACGGAGGAGCACGAAGGUGGGCUAAUCACGGUUGGACAUCGUGAGGUUAGUGCAAUGGCAUAAGCCCGCUUGACUGCGAGAAUGACAAUUCGAGCAGGUGCGAAAGCAGGUCAUAGUGAUCCGGUGGUUCUGAAUGGAAGGGCCAUCGCUCAACGGAUAAAAGGUACUCCGGGGAUAACAGGCUGAUACCGCCCAAGAGUUCAUAUCGACGGCGG
This 2482-nucleotide ribosomal RNA is filed under the name Vibrio parahaemolyticus. RNAcentral's name for it is "bacterial LSU rRNA". It matches the Rfam family "Bacterial large subunit ribosomal RNA", at positions 1 to 2514 of the family's 2925-position model. The record is from RNAcentral. Lineage: Bacteria; Pseudomonadati; Pseudomonadota; Gammaproteobacteria; Vibrionales; Vibrionaceae.